RNAcentral lists this long non-coding RNA (1553 nucleotides) under Homo sapiens (human). RNAcentral's name for it is "HSALNT0298897". The record is from RNAcentral. Lineage: Eukaryota; Metazoa; Chordata; Mammalia; Primates; Hominidae.
GUACCUAUAAAAAGGUAGCUCCAUGUCACCACAGUGGUGACCCUUCUCUCUGACUCAUUUCCCAUUAUGAGCACAAUUAGCGUGCAGCAUGUGUCCUGGGAGAUUAAUGAUCCGCUGGAGGGAAGAAAGAGGAACUUGGGGAAUGGAUCUGGGUGUAGUCAGAGCUCGCCUCUCCCUGGGAGCUGCCUUGGUGCUGUAAAGGAUCUCAUGUCUUUUGCCAGCUUUGAUGAAACUUGCUAGUUGGAAAGCAGAGUGAAAUCUCAGGCUCUACAACUCUUGACAUAAGUAUUUUAUUCAUUUUUGGUGUCUAUGUUCUUGAAGUACUUAAGAGAUUUGGGGCUAUGCAAGUAAUAGACCAACUUUGUGAUUCAUAUUAAAAUUAAGUGAUUUAAACGCAGGAUUUUUAAUUUGAAAUUAUUUAAGUUUAUAAACAGUAUGGGAACAUUUAGAAAGACCUGGAUUCAUUCUGUUUAUAAUUGUAAUCCAUUAAAUUUAUGAAAAUUACCUAAGAAAUCUGAAAAGGUUUGGUUUAGCCAUCAGGCAAUUGAAGUACCUAAACAAGGAAAUAAAAUAUAUUAAAUUUAUAAAUCUUACUUUAAAUGUUUGAAUGAGUUAAAUAACUCCGUUUGUAUUGGGACCAAACUCUUUAACUCUUUAAGACUGCCUUAAAUCAUUUUGUUAAAAAUCUUAGAUUGAUUUCCACUUCUAUGUAGAGAGUUAGAAAGUAUAUCACCUCUACCCUAACAACAAGAAUAUGACAAAUGAAAUACAAAAUGAUAAUGUUCCUUGAACUCAUCAGAGGACUGACAUCACAGGGCAACUAAGCAACUAGAAUUCCAAAGAAGGACAAGCCCCUCCAAAGACAGGAAGCAUGAGGGCAGGCUCAUCAGUGUCAGAGCAGGGGAGACCAGCACAGACACCUUACAAGCAGGUAAGAAAAUGGAGGCUCCCAGAGAUUUGACAACCUGCCCGCAGCAAUGACCAAAUCAGACUUGGUGCUAAGUCUGCACCUCCCCAAAGUCAGUGUGUUUGUAUGCUCUGCUGCCACUGCCCCCCGCUGGCCCUGCACAUGAUGUGAACCAUCAGGCAGACCUGGAGUUCUGUCUCCUGGGUGGGCUGCUUGCCAACACCAGGGUGGCUGGCCCCUGCCUGUGUCAGGUCCUGCAGUGUUGACUCUCUUCGUGUGAUGUUGGGCAGGUGGAGCUGGUUGUGCUGAGCCUGAGGAAACAUCCAAUGUGCCAAACUUUCUUGUGUGUUUCCCUCUGCUGGUUAUUUAGUAAGCCCAGGAAAAGAGCAAAUCCUGCCCCCAACAGAUGAUCCUCUCGAUGAGAGUGGUUAUGGUGAUGAUGCCAGCAUGCAGUGGGGAGAUUCGACUUUUCGAGAUUCUUCCAGCCCUUUGCUUCCCACAUUUCAUAAUGCUUGAUGGCAACAGCUCUGCUGACUGUUUGGGAAAAAGACAAUACUUAUGUCCCUUUUAGAGACACUUUACUCAGUCCCUCCCGCAAUGCUUAGUACGCAGAGAAAAUAGUAAAAUUAACCCGAUUUGCUCAUCA